Ostrea edulis (European flat oyster) is the source of this 403-nucleotide long non-coding RNA. RefSeq lists it as uncharacterized. The transcript is spliced from 2 exons. Lineage: Eukaryota; Metazoa; Mollusca; Bivalvia; Ostreida; Ostreidae. The record is from RefSeq and is a predicted model, not a curated record.
UCGUGAAUGGGAUGAUCGUUUGAGAACAUGGUUGAAUCGGUGCGCAUUCAAUUUCAUUAAACCGACGGUGUGUGUCCUGUAUGUUAGAAAGGUUCGUUGGACGGAUUCCCGGGGUACUGCGCGCUAUACCUGUACGUUAUCACAACGUUCUGCCACGCUGUACAGAAUCAACAUGGCAAAGGUUGUUGAUGCCUUUAAGGAAUCCAAAGUAAUGACGUCAGCUAGAGAAGUACUAGAUGCUGACGAUGACACACACCUUGUAUGCCCAUGGGAAAGACUGAAAAAUGAUUUAAAGAAGUAAAACAAACAAUACAAAUAAUCUACUGAUGGGUAUACGUUCGGCACUCUGAUGUAGAAUAGUUCGGUUUGAUGUUUUAUGUGAUUUGAAUAUUGAUCAAAACAC